Long non-coding RNA from Chiroxiphia lanceolata (lance-tailed manakin), 1111 nucleotides. RefSeq lists it as uncharacterized. The transcript is spliced from 2 exons. The record is from RefSeq and is a predicted model, not a curated record. NCBI's taxonomy places the organism in Eukaryota, Metazoa, Chordata, Aves, Passeriformes, Pipridae.
GUGUGCUAUUUAAGUUAUAAUAAAGCUCACGGUUGGGAGAAAGUUUCUUUUGUGCAUUAGUUGCUGUGUCAUCCCUGGGGCUGGAAUACCAGGUUAGGGUGUGGAAACUUCACAUUCCAGUCCUUGCCUGAUCGGCAUAAGGCAGAUGGCUGCCCUGACUGCAGUGUAAAUAAUGCAAUGGUUACUGGACCUGUAAGCCAUUAGGCUUGGAAGCACCAUAGUAUUCUGAACAACUGAACAUUACUUGCAAUAGGGAGUGUUGCCUCCAUCUCUUUUUUUAGUUGCCUCCAUUUCUUUCUUCAGUCACCUUCAGAAAAUUCUGAUGAAAUUAGUUCAUUCCAAGAGUGCAUGUUACCACAAGUUUUGACACUUCAUUGGUUUUCAAGGAAAAAAAUUAUGGCUUGUAAAAUUGCCAAUGCAUAGUAAUCGCUCCGUCCUUGGUAAGAGAAACUACUACAAAGAUGCUACUUCUUAAUAACCAGUGAACUGUGUCCAGCAAACACAGAAUUAGUUGCUGCUUCACCAUUUAGAGCAGAUGACCAGCCCAUGGAGGCCUAAGGCAAAAUGACUGCUCUGUGGAACAAAAUGGUCCUCCUUUGUGUGGACUCUCAGCUUCAAUGAAACAGUAAGUGACAACAUAAAAGUCCAGAUUUCUGAGGAAAGGGAUUUGAGAAAUUAUAUCACCUCAGGAAAAGUUUUUGUUUGUAGCUUGAGGUGACCUUUUUGCUUACAUGAUUCUGGUAAAAAAAAAAAAAAAAAAAAAAAAAGACUUUUUGAAUGCUUAAUUGCCAGGACUAAUUGUGUAGUUUAUUUUGGAUGUGUGUGUCAAGAUUCAUGCAGUCAUCAACUGGAUAAUUAAGAGGUUGAACAGAUCUGGCAGUGGUCUGCAGGUUAAUUGAAAGAAAUGGCACCAAAGGAGAGGGAGUUGCAUCUCAACACAAACUUGCCAAAUCAGAAAUGAAAAGCAAAAAAAAGUUCAUGUGGAUUGUAUGGGAAAAAAAAAAAAGGGAGCAAACCAACUGAAAUUAUUUCCUCCAGAAGAGUACAAAUAAAAUCCGAUAUGCUAGUUAUUAAUAGAUAUGUAAGCAAGUGUUACAUGUUAGAUCUGUGA